AGUGUGGAGCCAAACGGAGUACGGUGCAUAGACUGUACAUAAUUUUUUUUUUCGUGAGUUUUCAUGCUCAAAAUGAGAGAUCAGGUGGCCGAUCUUAAAAUAAAUCAAUACUGAUUUUUUUUAUAGAGCGUUAAAGUUUUGCGAAGCCAGGGGGCGGGACUACUUGAUUGACAGUCCGUUCCGGAACGAUUGACAGGUCCUAUGGAGGAGGCAGCAGAGACUCUGUUCUCCUCGUUUGGAUUAAUUCUGACAUAAUAACUGUUGGUUUAUUUAUCGGUGGAGCAGCAGAACAUUUUCUACAGACAGUUUUCCUGCCCGUUGGCUUGUUUUAACCAGUUUUCUACCUUCGGCUGAUUCUACCAGCAGACUCUGAAAGGACUCUUAGUUCAAGUGAAAGCAGCAGUUCCUCCUUAAGGUCAGAGAUUGCAGCAUCUGAGGGCCUCUUCAAAAGAAGACGUAGUUGAUGAAGGCAUUCUGGAGCAGGACCAGAAAGACCACGACCAAGCAGCCUUGAGAUCUUAGGCAGCGUCUCCCUCAGGUCCCUCUCUAUCUCCCCACACAUCCACCAACCACUGGAACACAUCUCCAAAGUUCUGCCGGGCCAGCUCAGCUUCCCCUCAGAAGAAGUGCCGCCACCUGCCAGAUGAAGGAGCCUUUUGAGAGGCAGCUGGCAUCGUGAUUGGACUGUACUUUGGUCUGUUCCAAUCCAGCUUCAGCUCCAGAGACGGCAGGCAGGACGAGUCAACGGAGGCCGGGUGGACGAAGGCAUGCAGCUGAGUACAAUCCAGAAAACAACAGAGGAGGAGCGCAGCGGCCCAGGACCAGAACAACCAGAACCAAAGAACUACAGACUCUUCACAACCUGCUCAAACUCUUGGUACAGGACCUCACCACACGGGUCAACAAGGUUUCUGUCUCAUUUCUACUCUGAAGCUCACCUUCUCCUGCUCAAACUGCUGACAAAUGUUUCUGCUGCUCUAAAGUCUGGUCUCCAGAACUUCCUAAAAACUCUCAAAGUCUCUUCUGCUGCAGGUUGCUUUGCAGAACUGUUCCAGAAAACCUCACUAAACCACAUGGAGGAGCCUCAAGAUAGUCGUCCAAAUGAAACCGUACAAAAACCAAACUAGCACAACCCAAACGCUAAAGUCUCCUACAGCCUACCAGAGAACCUCUGAGAACAGAGAAUCAGGACAGGAACUCUUACCUUCUGGACAACCAGCGUUGGUUCACAAACAAGAAUACAGAAUGUGUCUGACCAAAAACCUCUAAAGACUCACUACAGCCAAAAUAAAGACACAACUCAGCUGCAUCAAAUCCACUAAUCACUGCGCACAUUAGCACCAUGUGCUAACUGUGGCUAUAGAACCACAGUUACCAAGACAACUAUCCAGUAAAAAAGCCCUGAAACACACCAAGAAACACAUUAAAGCCUAUUUUACUGCUGGAAGCUGCAAGCCAACGCCUAAAAAACAAACUAAAGCAACGGAGCCAAACCCGGUUCAGUGGUGAAGAGAAACAAAGGAAAUGUUUGUCUGCAGAUAAAUAAAGCAGGAAGACACUGAGCUGCUCAGGUGUUCCUGAUAACGCCAAGCAGCCACCUGGACAGCCAAUAGGAACACAGCUUACUGGAAGUCUAGAGGGCUGGGUUAGUCAAGGAAAUUUAAUUUAAAGUUGAAGCAGAAAGUUAACAAAGAAAGUUGAAAACCACCUUCUGGUCCCUGAAAUCUCUGAGUUUUCACACAAAGAACGCCUGAACGUUUCAAACUGGUUCCAUAGUAGAACCAUCAUUGUAAAAACGUCAUAGUAUGGUGUGUUGCUCAAAAAACAUUUACGACCCGGCUGUCUAGGGUCGCCAAGGAGCAACACAAAAACAGGACAAACGCUAGUUUCCAGGGGUCCGUUUCACGAAGUAGGUUCAACAAACUCUGAGUGUAACCGUGAACUCUGAGUUGAUCCACUCUGAGAUAGGAAACUCUGAGUUUUUGGUUCCAGAACGGCUGAUUUGAGUUGGUUUAAUCAACUCGGAGUAGUUUCACCCGGAGUUAAGCGCGUGCACCACAACUCUGAGCAGCCAGUAUCAAUGGAGCGCCGAUUCGACGAGUCACCAUGGCAACGGGGAAGCGCAGGACGACACCGCUUGAACUGGAAAUCUUAAUGCGCUUAUAUCGCGAGUUUGAACACGUUUUUAGAAAGAAGUGCAACACCGCUGCAGCUGCCAAAGAGGGAGACGGCGUGGGAGAACAUUGCUGCCCGGGUCAAUGCAGUGAAAGCAGCAGUUCCUCCUUAAGGUCAGAGAUUGCAGCAUCUGAGGGCCUCUUCAAAAGAAGACGAAGUUGAUGAAGGCGGUCUGGAGCAGGAACAGAAAGACCACGACCAAGCAGCCUUGAGAUCUUAGGCAGCAUCUCCCUCAGGUGGGUGUCAAUGGU
Molecule: long non-coding RNA, 2426 nt
Organism: Amphiprion ocellaris (clown anemonefish)
Lineage: Eukaryota; Metazoa; Chordata; Actinopteri; Pomacentridae
Exons: 5
Source: RefSeq, a predicted model, not a curated record